GGCGGCUAUAGUUUUCACUUACAAUGAAAAAUACCCUUUAGGGCGCCUUUAUAUUGUUAAAGAUUUAAU
This 69-nucleotide transfer RNA is filed under the name Gammarus lacustris. RNAcentral's name for it is "tRNA-Val". The record is from RNAcentral. Lineage: Eukaryota; Metazoa; Arthropoda; Malacostraca; Amphipoda; Gammaridae.